UAGGUACAUGAGUGCUUGCACUUGAUGACGAGUGGCGGACGGGUGAGUAAGGUAUGGGGAUCUGCCGAAUGGAGAGGGACAACAGUUGGAAACGACUGCUAAUACCUCAUAAAGUUGAGAGACCAAAGCGUGGGACCUUCGGGCCACGUGCCAUUUGAUGAACCCAUAUGGGAUUAGCUAGUUGGUGGGGUAAAGGCUCACCAAGGCGACGAUCUCUAGCUGGUCUGAGAGGAUGACCAGCCACACUGGAACUGAGACACGGUCCAGACUCCUACGGGAGGCAGCAGUGGGGAAUAUUGCACAAUGGGGGAAACCCUGAUGCAGCCAUGCCGCGUGUAUGAAGAAGGCCUUCGGGUUGUAAAGUACUUUCGGUAAUGAGGAAGGUGUUGUAUCUAAUAGGUGCAGCAAUUGACGUUAAUUACAGAAGAAGCACCGGCUAACUCCGUGCCAGCAGCCGCGGUAAUACGGAGGGUGCGAGCGUUAAUCGGAAUGACUGGGCGUAAAGGGCAUGUAGGCGGAUGAUUAAGUUAGGUGUGAAAGCCCUGGGCUCAACCUAGGAAUUGCACUUAAAACUGGUUAUCUGGAGUAUUGUAGAGGAAG
This 600-nucleotide ribosomal RNA is filed under the name Gilliamella sp. RNAcentral's name for it is "bacterial SSU rRNA". It matches the Rfam family "Bacterial small subunit ribosomal RNA", at positions 70 to 660 of the family's 1533-position model. Lineage: Bacteria; Pseudomonadati; Pseudomonadota; Gammaproteobacteria; Orbales; Orbaceae. The record is from RNAcentral.